GUCUCUCUCCCUCUUCUCUGCAACUCCGGCCACCUCUUGAUUCCGGCCACCUGGGAACGAACAAGUGCCACUGCUGGACUCCUCUACUCCUACCCAACCUCCCCACGGCGAUAACUCACGGCGGUUUGGACGGAAAACGAAGAAUCAAGCCCGGAAACUUUACUGUAGCAGUUUGAGUCAACGCCGAUUUCUCUCGAUUCCAGCCAUAUCCGGCCACCAAACCGGCGUCGAAGGUUCGGUUUUUGCCAAGGAUCAUUUUCCCCCUAGCCUUGAGCCACGAUUUGCAGUGUAGAGGAAGAAUCGACGAUUGGAAGAUUACGGUCACUAUUCACAGUUUGAGUUCAAGCUUCUCCUUAAUUGUUGAGGGCGAUGUACCGAGCUAUUGCUCGACGAAGGAACUCGUAUGCAUGGUCGCCUAAAUAGUACUUUUGCAGGCCAGUUUAGCUUGAGGUCGAGCGUACUUGGGGUUGAGGCAUAGCUGUCAUAGCUU
This 490-nucleotide long non-coding RNA is filed under the name Rosa chinensis. RNAcentral describes it as "sRNA RchiOBHm_Chr2g0126721". The record is from RNAcentral. Lineage: Eukaryota; Viridiplantae; Streptophyta; Magnoliopsida; Rosales; Rosaceae.